Molecule: transfer RNA, 71 nt
Filed under: Drepanopeziza brunnea f. sp. 'multigermtubi' MB_m1
Lineage: Eukaryota; Fungi; Ascomycota; Leotiomycetes; Helotiales; Drepanopezizaceae
Description: tRNA-Gly (GCC) (tRNA-Gly-GCC-3 1 to 3)
Rfam family: tRNA
About the family: Transfer RNA (tRNA) molecules are approximately 80 nucleotides in length.
Source: RNAcentral
GCGUCUGUGGUUUAGUGGUAAAAUCCAUCGUUGCCAUCGAUGGGCCCCGGGUCCGAUUCCCGGCGGACGCA